CAAAUCGGGAAUCGGAUUUCUGUCAGUUUCGCUUCGGUCGAUUGUUUGCUUCUUGUUUCAAAAAUAAUUUUUAGACACAAAAAUCGUAAAAUAAAUUCGUUUUUGAACUAUACCUAAUUAAAUUUACAUUAUUUUUAACUAUAGCGUGUUAACAGUUUUAAAGCCUGUUUCUAUCCUAUCCAUACCCUCGCACUUACAUUCAAUUUAGCAAACCAAUCCCAAAAUUCGCAAAACCUAAAACAGUGUUCACGUAAAUUAAAUCCCUAAACAACCCGCGAAUGCCGAUCCCGCAUUUGCACACAGUGUAGUGGCGUUAACACACAUCCGUUUACAAAUGCCAGCAGUAGCUAGUCGGACAUCGAUGCGAUCUCGGCUCCCGUGGGACUAUGCUGUGGUUCGGUGUCCUGGCGCUGGGCAUGAUCAGCGGGCUGAACGUGACGGAAGCGCCCGGCGCGGAUGGUAGCUCGGCGGCGCCCCCGCUGUCGCCGAGCUCGGAGAUGCACCUGCUUGAGGCCACGCGCGGGGCGCCCCCGGCCGACCCCGUCAACGUGACGCUCCAGGACCGCGCGUCCAUGUGGGACCUCUACCUGCACCACUGCCCGCACUGGAAGCCCAUCAACCAUGUCUUCUUCCAAGCGGCCAACGUCUGCUUCCUAGUCUCCUUCCUUGCCCCGCACACACAGACUGGGCUGGUGUUUCUCCGGGCCGCGCUUGUACUCGGCUGUGCGUUGUCUGCGCUGUGGGCGUGGAGCAUCCAGUGCUAUAUGGAUGCGGUGGUGUGGAACGCAGUGUUUGUGCUGAUAAACUUUGUGUAUUUUGCGGUGCACUUCUAUUUGAUAAGGCCCAUCAAGUUUCACAAGGAUCUCGAAGAUGUCUACACGGCGUUGUUCAAACCACUGCGUGUGUCUCGUCGCCAAUUCCGGCGCGUGUUGCUGUGCAUGCGCAGCGUGCGGCACCUCAAGUGCCACGAGCUGUACGCGCACGAGAAGGUCACCAAGGUGGACAGCCUCUCGCUCGUGCUGUCCGGCAAGCUGGUGGUGUCUCAGAACCAGCGCGCGCUGCACAUCGUGUUCCCCCACCACUUCCUCGACUCGCCGGAGUGGUUUGGGGUCUCCACCGACGACUUCUUCCAGGUGUCAAUAAUGGCGAUGGAAGAGUCGCGCGUGCUGGUGUGGCACCGCGACAAGCUGAAGCUGUCCAUCAUGAGCGACGCGUUCUUGCAGUCCGUGUUCGACCACGUGCUGGGCAGGGACGUGGUGCAUAAGCUCAUGCAGGUGAGCGAAACGAUGGCAGUCAGCAACGGUCACUUACCAAACAGCUACGAAGAGGGAGAGGAUAAACCGAUGCUGGUGGUGAAGAAGUCGGGAGACGGGCCCGGGAUCACCGCCCUGCUGAACCGACAGCUGCAAGACGAGAGCGUACCUCUUCUACGACACAUCGGCCCGGCCAAGGUGAACCAUUGCUGAGCCGAUCAUGCAUCGGAAACUACCCACCCGUCUACAUAUCCUCUCGAUCCCACCCUCUAAACAAAUCAAUAUUCCACCGCACUUUUUGCCCCACCCCCGCAAGAAUCAAUUUUGAAACGCCGUUUGUUCCGUCUGAAAAUGAGGCGGUUUUAGAACGCUUUAUAUUUUUGAAUUUGGAUUCCCCUUUAAAUUUUUAACUGGGUUACCUUCCUAUUUUUCUACCAAUCCCUUUUGCCAUGGCUCAUUUUAUAUCCCUUUUAUAUGGUUUGCUAUAUACUUAUAAAUCUUGCUAUAUUUGUAAUUUGGUGUGCUAAUUUUCGUGCUAAAUUGAUUGAAAUGUAAACCUAGAACAAAACAUGUUUUGUUUGGUAAAUAGUAAUAAAAAGCAGUGAAUAUUACCUAGUGUGAAAGCAAUAUCUAAUCAGUAUCUUAUGUAGUUAUAAGAAUUUGAUAUUAUUUCAUACCUUACAUUAGAUUUUGCUCUCGAUGUCGUAAAAUGACAACAUAUCGAAAUUAUUUGAAACAAAAAACGGGCACAAAACCAAAAUAAAAAUGAAUCAUUUUAUACAUAAUUUUAAUCUGACUAUUGUAGGUUACCUACCUAUUCCUACUACUGGAGCUUAUUUAUCUCUUAUAUUUUUUAGGUUAUAUUCAUUCUACUCAUAUGAGUGCUGCCAUCUAUUGAUAACAAGUUUAAAGUUGCAUGCUGGUGUAUUUAUGUAAGGCUAGUCAUUUAUGUAUCUCCCAUGUUAGAUGUACUGUGUGUUUUGUAGUGUAUUGCAUGCAUUGUAUUGUAUAAGAUAUUCGUAUAUUAUGCGUAAGGUAGUAAUCGCUUAAAACUUUAGUGCUUAUCUUCUUAUUGUCUUCACAUUUACAUAUCUAUGAAAAUUUGCAAUUGAUUUACGAAUAUCUAUCAAUAUGGGACUGGCUUUUUAAAUAUGACUUUAAAAUAAGACGGAAGUCAAAAAAUUACUGUAUGUAUGCUUUAAUGUGUGUUGUUGUAAAUAACUUUUAUUAUAAUUAGGUAUUAGAGAUAAAUACUAUGAGCUUCAUAAAGUACUCAAUGACAUCCUUAUCCCGUCCUAUAUCCUAAAUCCUGUAGCAUGUUCGGAAGAUUUCUACAGUUGAAGCGACGGACCCAAACGCGUGGCGUCUCGGCCGCAUUGAGGAGACGGACCACGAGACGCCCGUCUGAGGAUACCUGCCCGUGGCCGUGCGCUGCGGACCGAAGCCCCAACCGCUCCCCCGCAGCCGCUCCGCCAAACGGGCGCGCCGGUAAAAUGCCACCUCCUUGGCAUUAAAGACACAGUGACCUUUGUGUGU
Non-coding RNA from Plutella xylostella (diamondback moth), 2789 nucleotides. The record is from RefSeq and is a predicted model, not a curated record. Lineage: Eukaryota; Metazoa; Arthropoda; Insecta; Lepidoptera; Plutellidae.